CGAACGCUGGCGGCGUGGCUAAGACAUGCAAGUCGAACGGACCGGUCAAUUGGGUAACUGAGAGGCCGGUUAGUGGCGAAAGGGUGAGGAAUAGAUAGGUAACGUACCUUGUUCUUCGGGAAAAUGUCGCAUCCGCAAGGAUGCUACCGAAAGGGGCACUAAUACCGAAUAAUGUGGUCUGUUUAAUGCGGAUUACCAAAGAUUUAUCGGGGCAAGAGCGGCCUAUCUUCUAUCAGCUAGUUGGUGAGGUAAUGGCCCACCAAGGCAAUGACGGGUAGCGGGACUGAGAGGUUGGCCCGCCACAUCGGGACUGAGACACUGCCCGGACCUCCACGGAGGGCUGCAGUAACGAAUAUUGGGCAAUGGGCGAAAGCCUGACCCAGCGACGCCGCGUGCGGGAGGAAGUCCCACGGGAUGUAAACCGCUGUCAGGGAGAAGAAAGGUCGCAAGACUUGAUCUAUCCCAGAGGAAGCAACGGCUAACUUCGUGCCAGCAGCCGCGGUAAGACGAAGGUUGCGAGCGUUGUUCGGAAUCACUGGGCUUAAAGCGUAUGUAGGCGGAUGAGUAAGCGUUUUGUGAAAUCCCCCGGCUUAACCGGGGAAUUGCUUGGCGAACUGCUCAUCUUGAGGCAAAUAGGGGUGCAUGGAACUCUUGGUGGAGCGGUGGAAUGCGUAGAUAUCAAGAGGAACGCCAGCGGCGAAAGCGGUGCACUGGAUUUGUCCUGACGCUCAGAUACGAAAGCGUGGGGAGCAAACGGGAUUAGAUACCCCGGUAGUCCACGCCCUAAACGAUGCCUACUAGGUUGUAGAAGCUCUGACGCUUUUACGGCCGAAGCAAAAGUGUUAAGUAGGCCGCCUGGGAAGUACG
RNAcentral lists this ribosomal RNA (867 nucleotides) under uncultured bacterium. RNAcentral describes it as "bacterial SSU rRNA". It matches the Rfam family "Bacterial small subunit ribosomal RNA", at positions 30 to 884 of the family's 1533-position model. The record is from RNAcentral.